Small nuclear RNA from Myotis daubentonii (Daubenton's bat), 104 nucleotides. NCBI's taxonomy places the organism in Eukaryota, Metazoa, Chordata, Mammalia, Chiroptera, Vespertilionidae. The record is from RefSeq and is a predicted model, not a curated record.
GUGCUCGCUUCAGCAGCAUAUAUACUAAAAUUGGAAUGAUACAGAGAUUAGCAUGGUUCCUGCACAAGGAUGACACCCAAAUUUGUUAAGUGUUCCAUAUUUUU